GAUGAACGCUGGCGGCAUGCCUAAUACAUGCAAGUCGAGCGAACGGACGAGAAGCUUUCUUCUCUGAUGUUAGCGGCGGACGGGUGAGUAACACGUGGAUAACCUACCUCUAAGACUGGGAUGACUUCGGGAAACCGGAGCUAAUACCGGAUGAUAUUUUGAACCGCAUGAAUCAAAAGUUAAAGACGGUCUUGCUGUCACUUAUAGAUGGAUCCGCGCUGCCUUAGCUAGUUGGUAAGGUAACGGCUUACCAAGGCAACGAUGCAUAGCCGACCUGAGAGGGUGAUCGGCCACACUGGAACUGAGACACGGUCCAGACUCCUACGGGAGGCAGCAGUAGGGAAUCUUCCGCAAUGGGCGAAAGCCUGACGGAGCAACGCCGCGUGAGUGAUGAAGGUCUUCGGAUCGUAAAACCCUGUUAUUAGGGAAGAACAUAUGUGUAAGUAACUGUGCACAUCUUGACGGUACCUAAUCAGAAAGCCACGGCUAACUACGUG
Molecule: ribosomal RNA, 497 nt
Filed under: uncultured bacterium
Lineage: Bacteria
Description: partial 16S ribosomal RNA
Rfam family: Bacterial small subunit ribosomal RNA
Source: RNAcentral